RNAcentral lists this ribosomal RNA (253 nucleotides) under uncultured bacterium. RNAcentral describes it as "partial 16S ribosomal RNA". It matches the Rfam family "Bacterial small subunit ribosomal RNA", at positions 524 to 776 of the family's 1533-position model. The record is from RNAcentral.
UACGGAGGGUGCAAGCGUUAUCCGGAUUCACUGGGUUUAAAGGGUGCGUAGGUGGGUUGGUAAGUCAGUGGUGAAAUCUCCAGGCUUAACUUGGAAACUGCCAUUGAUACUAUCAAUCUUGAAUGCCGUGGAGGUCAGCGGAAUAUGUCAUGUAGCGGUGAAAUGCUUAGAUAUGACAUAGAACACCAAUUGCGAAGGCAGCUGGCUACACGAAUAUUGACACUGAUGCACGAAAGCGUGGGGAGCAAACAGG